RNAcentral lists this ribosomal RNA (468 nucleotides) under uncultured bacterium. Its description in RNAcentral is "partial 16S ribosomal RNA". It matches the Rfam family "Bacterial small subunit ribosomal RNA", at positions 28 to 507 of the family's 1533-position model. The record is from RNAcentral.
GACGAACGCUGGCGGCGUGCUUAACACAUGCAAGUCGAACGGAAAGGCCCUGCUUUCGUGGGGUGCUCGAGUGGCGAACGGGUGAGUAACCCGUGAGUAACCUGCCCUUGACUUUGGGAUAACUUCAGGAAACUGGGGCUAAUACCGGAUAGGAGCUCCUGCUGCAUGGUGGGGGUUGGAAAGCUUCGGCGGUUGGGGAUGGGCUCGGGGCUUAUCAGCUUGUUGGUGGGGGAGUGGCUUACCAAGGCUUUGACGGGUAGCCGGCCUGAGAGGGUGACCGGCCACAAUGGGACUGAGAUACGGCCCAGAGUCCUACGGGAGGCAGCAGUGGGGAAUAUUGCACAAUGGGCGGAAGCCUGAUGCAGCAACGCCGCGUGCGGGAUGACGGCCUUCGGGUGGUAAACCGCUUUCGCCUGUGACGAAGCGUGAGUGACGGUAAUGGGUAAAGAAGCACCGGCUAACUACGUG